This 1662-nucleotide ribosomal RNA is filed under the name metagenome. Its description in RNAcentral is "bacterial LSU rRNA". It matches the Rfam family "Bacterial large subunit ribosomal RNA", at positions 1280 to 2925 of the family's 2925-position model. The record is from RNAcentral.
UUUCAGAAGUGCGAAUGCUGACAUAAGUAACGAUAAAGCGGGUGAAAAGCCCGCUCGCCGGAAGACCAAGGGUUCCUGUCCAACGUUAAUCGGGGCAGGGUGAGUCGACCCCUAAGGCGAGGCCGAAAGGCGUAGUCGAUGGGAAACAGGUUAAUAUUCCUGUACUUGGUGUUACUGCGAAGGGGGGACGGAGAAGGCUAUGUUGGCCGGGCGACGGUUGUCCCGGUUUAAGCGUGUAGGCUGGUUUUCCAGGCAAAUCCGGAAAAUCAAGGCUGAGGCGUGAUGACGAGGCACUACGGUGCUGAAGCAACAAAUGCCCUGCUUCCAGGAAAAGCCUCUAAGCAUCAGGUAACAUCAAAUCGUACCCCAAACCGACACAGGUGGUCAGGUAGAGAAUACCAAGGCGCUUGAGAGAACUCGGGUGAAGGAACUAGGCAAAAUGGUGCCGUAACUUCGGGAGAAGGCACGCUGAUAUGUAGGUGAAGCGACUUGCUCGUGGAGCUGAAAUCAGUCGAAGAUACCAGCUGGCUGCAACUGUUUAUUAAAAACACAGCACUGUGCAAACACGAAAGUGGACGUAUACGGUGUGACGCCCCCCGGUGCCGGAAGGUUAAUUGAUGGGGUUAGCGCGAGCGAAGCUCUUGAUCGAAGCCCCGGUAAACGGCGGCCGUAACUAUAACGGUCCUAAGGUAGCGAAAUUCCUUGUCGGGUAAGUUCCGACCUGCACGAAUGGCGUAAUGAUGGCCAGGCUGUCUCCACCCGAGACUCAGUGAAAUUGAACUCGCUGUGAAGAUGCAGUGUACCCGCGGCAAGACGGAAAGACCCCGUGAACCUUUACUAUAGCUUGACACUGAACAUUGAGCCUUGAUGUGUAGGAUAGGUGGGAGGCUUUGAAGUGUGGACGCCAGUCUGCAUGGAGCCGACCUUGAAAUACCACCCUUUAAUGUUUGAUGUUCUAACGUUGACCCGUAAUCCGGGUUGCGGACAGUGUCUGGUGGGUAGUUUGACUGGGGCGGUCUCCUCCUAAAGAGUAACGGAGGAGCACGAAGGUUGGCUAAUCCUGGUCGGACAUCAGGAGGUUAGUGCAAUGGCAUAAGCCAGCUUGACUGCGAGCGUGACGGCGCGAGCAGGUGCGAAAGCAGGUCAUAGUGAUCCGGUGGUUCUGAAUGGAAGGGCCAUCGCUCAACGGAUAAAAGGUACUCCGGGGAUAACAGGCUGAUACCGCCCAAGAGUUCAUAUCGACGGCGGUGUUUGGCACCUCGAUGUCGGCUCAUCACAUCCUGGGGCUGAAGUAGGUCCCAAGGGUAUGGCUGUUCGCCAUUUAAAGUGGUACGCGAGCUGGGUUUAGAACGUCGUGAGACAGUUCGGUCCCUAUCUGCCGUGGGCGCUGGAGAACUGAGGGGGGCUGCUCCUAGUACGAGAGGACCGGAGUGGACGCAUCACUGGUGUUCGGGUUGUCAUGCCAAUGGCACUGCCCGGUAGCUAAAUGCGGAAGAGAUAAGUGCUGAAAGCAUCUAAGCACGAAACUUGCCCCGAGAUGAGUUCUCCCUGACUCCUUGAGAGUCCUGAAGGAACGUUGAAGACGACGACGUUGAUAGGCCGGGUGUGUAAGCGCAGCGAUGCGUUGAGCUAACCGGUACUAAUGAACCGUGAGGCUUAACC